AGUGAACGCUGGCGGUAGGCCUAACACAUGCAAGUCGAACGGCAGCACAGUAAGAGCUUGCUCUUACGGGUGGCGAGUGGCGGACGGGUGAGGAAUACAUCGGAAUCUACUUUUUCGUGGGGGAUAACGUAGGGAAACUUCCGCUAAUACAGCACACGACCUACGGGUGAAAGCAGGGGUUCUUCGGGCCUUGCGCGAUUGAAUGAGCCGAUGUCGGAUUAGCUAGUUGGCGGGGUAAAGGCCCACCAAGGCGACGAUCCGUAGCUGGUCUGAGAGGAUGAUCAGCCACACUGGAACUGAGACACGGUCCAGACUCCUACGGGAGGCAGCAGUGGGGAAUAUUGGACAAUGGGCGCAAGCCUGAUCCAGCCAUACCGCGUGGGUGAAGAAGGCCUUCGGGUUGUAAAGCCCUGUUGUUGGGAAAGAAAAGCAGCAGGUUAAUACCCCGCUGUUCUGACGGUACCCAAAGAAUAAGCACCGGCUAACUUCGUG
Molecule: ribosomal RNA, 492 nt
Filed under: uncultured bacterium
Lineage: Bacteria
Description: partial 16S ribosomal RNA
Rfam family: Bacterial small subunit ribosomal RNA
Source: RNAcentral